RNAcentral lists this ribosomal RNA (253 nucleotides) under uncultured bacterium. RNAcentral describes it as "partial 16S ribosomal RNA". It matches the Rfam family "Bacterial small subunit ribosomal RNA", at positions 524 to 776 of the family's 1533-position model. The record is from RNAcentral.
UACGUAGGUGGCAAGCGUUGUCCGGAUUUACUGGGCGUAAAGAGCGCGCAGGCGGUCGUGCAAGUCGCGUGUGAAAGCCCCCGGCUCAACUGGGGAGGGUCACGCGAUACUGCUCGACUCGAAGGCAGGAGAGGGAAGUGGAAUUCCCAGUGUAGUGGUGAAAUGCGUAGAUAUCGGGAGGAACACCAGUGGCGAAGGCGACUUCCUGGCCUGUUCUUGACGCUGAGGCGCGAAAGCUAGGGUAGCAAACGGG